AGAACGAACGCUGGCGGCAUGCCUAACACAUGCAAGUCGAACACUCACCGGGCUUCGGUUCGGUGGGAGUGGCGCACGGGUGAGUAGCGCGUGGGAACCUGCCCUGUUGUGGGGGAUAACCGAGGGAAACUUCGGCUAAUACCGCAUGCGCCCGGGGAAACCCGGGGAAAGAUUUAUCGCAGCAGGAGGGGCCCGCGUCGGAUUAGGUAGUUGGUAGGGUAACGGCCUACCAAGCCUUUGAUCCGUAGCUGGUCUGAGAGGAUGAUCAGCCACACUGGGACUGAGACACGGCCCAGACUCCUACGGGAGGCAGCAGUGGGGAAUAUUGGACAAUGGGCGCAAGCCUGAUCCAGCAAUGCCGCGUGAGUGAUGAAGGCCUUAGGGUUGUAAAGCUCUUUCGCCCGCGACGAUGAUGACGGUAGCGGGAGAAGAAGCCCGGCUAACUUCGUGCCAGCAGCCGC
Molecule: ribosomal RNA, 461 nt
Filed under: uncultured bacterium
Lineage: Bacteria
Description: SSU rRNA
Rfam family: Bacterial small subunit ribosomal RNA
Source: RNAcentral